Molecule: long non-coding RNA, 350 nt
Organism: Physeter macrocephalus (sperm whale)
Lineage: Eukaryota; Metazoa; Chordata; Mammalia; Artiodactyla; Physeteridae
Exons: 3
Source: RefSeq, a predicted model, not a curated record
AUUGAUUGAAAAUUCUAUCAUUUCCUUGAUUAUCUGCAAUGAACCUCAGAUAUGUAUUGAAUCACCCUGUUUGUGUCUAAAAAUACAAUUAAAUGCAAAUGACAAAUUAAAACGGGAAGAUUCUGCAACAUCUAUGAUAGAUAAAAACAGGCAGUCCAUCCCCUUCAAGUGUCUUCCCAGAUCAUGGAAGUGCCAGGGUGUGAGUCACAAGUCCCCCCAUCCCCUUCCCCCCAGUCUCCUUCUGCUGCUGCCACGCCUGCCUCCACAUUUGUGGUCCAUCUUCAACUCUUGUCAGGCAACUCCAUGGAUCUCUGCAGUCCUUUCCAACGUGCAGCAGCUACCUGCCACCA